AACAUACUCCCUCCGUCCUAAAAUUCUUGUCUUGUGUUUGUCUAAAAAUAGAUAUAUCUAGAUACUAAAACGUGACUAGAUACAUUUAUAUCUAACAAAUUUAAGACAAGAAUUUUGGGACGGAGGGAGUACUUC
Non-coding RNA from Hordeum vulgare subsp. vulgare (domesticated barley), 135 nucleotides. The record is from Rfam. NCBI's taxonomy places the organism in Eukaryota, Viridiplantae, Streptophyta, Magnoliopsida, Poales, Poaceae.